GGUAAUGUCUGGGAAACUGCCCGAUGGAGGGGGAUAACUACUGGAAACGGUAGCUAAUACCGCAUAACGUCGCAAGACCAAAGAGGGGGACCUUCGGGCCUCUUGCCAUCGGAUGUGCCCAGAUGGGAUAGCUAGUAGGUGGGGUAACGGCUCACCUAGGCGACGAUCCCUAGCUGGUCUGAGAGGAUGACCAGCCACACUGGAACUGAGACACGGUCCAG
Molecule: ribosomal RNA, 221 nt
Filed under: uncultured bacterium
Lineage: Bacteria
Description: partial 16S ribosomal RNA
Rfam family: Bacterial small subunit ribosomal RNA
Source: RNAcentral